UGCCAGCAGCCGCGGUAAUACGAAGGGGGCUAGCGUCGUUCGGAAUUACUGGGCGUAAAGCGCGUGUAGGCUGACUAGUCAGUCAGGGGUGAAAUCCCAGGGCUCAACCCUGGAACUGCCUUUGAUACUGCUAGUCUGGAGUCCGGUAGAGGUGAGUGGAAUUCCGAGUGUAGAGGUGAAAUUCGUAGAUAUUCGGAGGAACACCAGUGGCGAAGGCGGCUCACUGGACCGGUACUGACGCUGAGACGCGAAAGUGUGGGGAGCAAACAGGAUUAGAUA
RNAcentral lists this ribosomal RNA (279 nucleotides) under uncultured bacterium. Its description in RNAcentral is "partial 16S ribosomal RNA". It matches the Rfam family "Bacterial small subunit ribosomal RNA", at positions 506 to 784 of the family's 1533-position model. The record is from RNAcentral.